CAAAGGAAAAUUGAAAGGAAAAAGAGGAAAUCUUCCACAAAUACAUAAACAAAGUUUGUUCAUUCUUCAAAUCGAGGAAACCAUCCACAAAAACAUUGAAAAAUCUGGAAAAAAAAGUCGAGCAGAUCAGCAAUGAAAACACAAAAAAAAUUACAGGUAUUUCUAUGUUUUGGAUUCCAUGAUUAUAGCUCAUUAUCCAUCUCGAUUUUGUUUGAAUUAACAUUUAUGAAAAUAAAAUUGUUGAAGUUGAGUGGAUUGUGUAUGAAAAAUUAGUUUUGAAUCAAUUACAUUGAUGCUUGCAAGGUGUUUGACAAAAAGAUAAUAUGAAAAAGUGGCAUUCUAUCACUUUUUUCAAAAAAAAGUCACAGUAUUUCUUUUAAGCAAUUAGCUAGGUAUGCACGUGUGAAUUUUUGAAAAUUUGAACGUACAUAUUCAAGCCCUAUUUUCUGGUAAUUAACACAUGAGAAAGAAAACUUUAAACCAAUUGCAUUGAUGCUUGCAAUGUGUUUGCCCAAAGAAGAAGGUGAGAAAGUGGCAUUUUGUCACUUUUCUUAGAAAAAGUGACAUUUUGUGACUUUUCUCCAAAACAGUCACCAUUUAUCAUUGGAGCAAUUAAUCGGAUGCAUACAUUUAUUUUUUUGAAAGUUUGAAUAUUCCAAUUCAUACCUUGUUUUUUGGUAAUACAUAUGAAAAAGAAAACUUUGAAUCGACUACAUACAUUUGCUUGCAAGAUGUUUGAUCAUGAAGAGUGACAUUCUGUCACCUUUCUAAAAAAAGUGACAUUUGUUACAUUUAUAUAAGAACAGUCACCCUUUAUCAUUCGAACAAUUAACCGGAUGCAUAUGUGUGCUUUUUUGAAAGUUUAAACAUAUCAAUUCAUGCCCUCUUAUCUGAGAAUACAUAUGAAAAUGAAAAUUUUGAAUCAAUUACAUGGAUGCACAUGGAGAGGGUGACAUUCUGUCACUUUUCUUAAAAAAAAAAAAAGUGACAUUGUGUGACCUUUUUUCUCCAAUUCAGUCACACUUUAUCAUUGGAGCAAUUAACCGGAUGUAUACGUGUGCUUUUCUGAAAGUUUAAACAUACCAAUUCAUACUCUAUUUUCUGGUACUACAUAUGAAAAUAAAAAACUUUGAAUCCACUACAUGGAUGCAUGUAAUGUGUUUGCUUAUGUAAUCCACUAUCACUUUUUCCCAAAAAAAAGUGACAUUGUGUCACUUUUCUCCGAAAAAGUGGCAUUCUAUCACUUUUCUCCGAAAAAAGUGGCAUUCUGUCACUUUUUUCCAAAAAUAGUCAAGCAUUUUGGAAUUAUUAAGAUACAUAUUCAAGCCCUGUUUUCUAGUAAUAAACAUGAAAAAGAAAACUUUGAAUCAAGUACAUUGAUACAUGCAUGGUGUUUGAUGAAGGAGAAUGUGAAAAAUUAACAUGCUGUCACUUUUUUCAGAAAAAGUCACAGAAUCACUUUUGGGCCUAAUAACUAGAUGCAUAUUACUUGGUCACUUAAAAAAAAAAAAAACAAAACUCACACAAUCUCUUUGUAAUAUUUUUGUAGGUAUGGAUAAAAUCAAUGUCUUCAUUUGUUAUGGAGGCAAGUGGACACAAGAUAAUGAGUACACAAGUGACAAAAUGACUGGAAUUGUUGUCCCGAUGGAUUGCACAUACAACCACCUUGAGUACAUGAUAUGUUCUGUGAUGAAAGUAAGUGCAUCAACUCAGAGAGUAAAAAUACAAUAUAGAGUGAAGAAAAACCUGCCUUUAAUGGAGAUUUCAGAUGAUAUUUCACUAACAUUUUAUUUGGAGUUGAAGAGAAAGGAUAAAGAUCUUACAAGCUUUCCAUUGUUCAUAGAUGUGACAACGGUAUCAAAAAGUCACGAAACUGAAUUUGUUAAUAAUAUACAAUGUUUGGAGGCUGUCAAUUAUGAAAAAAAUGAUAUGCUACAAUUGCAGUUUUGCGAAGCUGUAACUGAUAAUUCUGUGACAUCGGCUCAAAAAUUACCUAGUAUGGAAGAAAUUGCGAUUGAUGUAUACAAUAGUAUGUCGGAAGUUGGAGAAACAACGAAUGAAGGAGGAAGUGAUAUCAUUUCAAUGGUCACUAUGGAUGGAAUUUCAAAAGAUAAAGUGUUCAAGAACAAGACAUUGGUUAAGAGAAGUAUUUCGGUAUAUGCGAUACACAAUAACUUUCAAUUCAAGGUAAGUAAGUCGGACAAGAAAGAGUAUGUGUU
Molecule: long non-coding RNA, 2219 nt
Filed under: Olea europaea subsp. europaea
Lineage: Eukaryota; Viridiplantae; Streptophyta; Magnoliopsida; Lamiales; Oleaceae
Source: RNAcentral